Molecule: ribosomal RNA, 439 nt
Filed under: uncultured bacterium
Lineage: Bacteria
Description: partial 16S ribosomal RNA
Rfam family: Bacterial small subunit ribosomal RNA
Source: RNAcentral
CUACGGGGGGCAGCAGUGAGGAAUAUUGCACAAUGGAGGAAACUCUGAUGCAGCAACGCCGCGUGGAGGAUGACGCAUUUCGGUGUGUAAACUCCUUUUAUAUGUCAAGAAAAUGACGGUAGCAUGUGAAUAAGCACCGGCUAACUCCGUGCCAGCAGCCGCGGUAAUACGGAGGGUGCAAGCGUUACUCGGAAUCACUGGGCGUAAAGGACGCGUAGGCGGGAUAUCAAGUCAGGUGUGAAAUCCUACAGCUUAACUGUAGAACUGCACUUGAAACUGGUAACCUAGAGUAUGGGAGGGGGAGAUGGAAUUAGUGGUGUAGGGGUAAAAUCCGUAGAUAUCACUAGGAAUACCUAAAGCGAAGGCGAUCUCCUGGAACAUUACUGACGCUAAGGCGUGAAAGCGUGGGGAGCAAACAGGAUUAGAUACCCCAGUAGUC